CAGCCGCCGCGGUAAUACCGGCGGCCCGAGUGGCGGCCACUAUUAUUGGGCCUAAAGCGUCCGUAGCCGGGCUGGUAAGUCCCCCGGGAAAUCUGGCGGCUUAACGGUCAGAAUGCCGGAGGAUACUCCCAGCCUAGGGAGCGGGAGAGGCCGAGGGUAUUCCCGGAGUAGGGGUGAAAUCCUAUAAUCCCGGGAGGACCACCUGUGGCGAAGGCGCUCGGCUGGAACGCGUCCGACGGUGAGGGACGAAGGCCAGGGGAGCAAACCGGAUUAGAUACCCGGGUAGUCCUGGCUGUAAACGAUGCGGACUUUGUGUCGGACAAGCUAUGAGCUUGUCCGGUGCCGGAGGGAAACCGUUAAGUCCGCCGCCUGGGGAGUACGGCCGCAAGGCUGAAACUUAAAGGAAUUGGCGGG
RNAcentral lists this ribosomal RNA (414 nucleotides) under uncultured microorganism. RNAcentral describes it as "bacterial SSU rRNA". It matches the Rfam family "Archaeal small subunit ribosomal RNA", at positions 459 to 872 of the family's 1478-position model. The record is from RNAcentral.